RNAcentral lists this RNase P RNA (220 nucleotides) under Burkholderiaceae bacterium. RNAcentral's name for it is "partial RNase P RNA component class A". It matches the Rfam family "Bacterial RNase P class A", at positions 1 to 275 of the family's 367-position model. Rfam says of the family: Ribonuclease P (RNase P) is a ubiquitous endoribonuclease, found in archaea, bacteria and eukarya as well as chloroplasts and mitochondria. Its best characterised activity is the generation of mature 5'-ends of tRNAs by cleaving the 5'-leader elements of precursor-tRNAs. Lineage: Bacteria; Pseudomonadati; Pseudomonadota; Betaproteobacteria; Burkholderiales; Burkholderiaceae. The record is from RNAcentral.
GAAGCCCGCCAGACCGCCGCUGGUGCAAUCUGGGAAACCAGGCACUGGAGGAACGUCCGGACUGCACAGGGCAGCGUAGCAGGUAACACCUGUCCACCGUGAGGUGAGGAUCAGAGCAACAGAGACGAGCCGCUUCAGUGCGGGUGAAACGGGCAAUCUCUACGCGCAGCAAUACCAAGUAGGCCAGCGUUGAUGUGGCUCCGCAGAGCUGGCGGGUAGG